RNAcentral lists this long non-coding RNA (736 nucleotides) under Marmota monax (woodchuck). The record is from RNAcentral. Lineage: Eukaryota; Metazoa; Chordata; Mammalia; Rodentia; Sciuridae.
UGGCCAGACCAAAGUCCAGGUAGCCAGGAGGUAUCUGAAGAGGACCCAGCAGGCCAGAGCUCAGGGUCAGUGGAGCCCAGGGUCAGGGGUCUGCUGGCCUCUUGAGCCCGGUUCGCCCCACCUCAGGGUCUUUGCAAGGCUGUUUCCCCUCAUGCGCACUUCCUCCAGGUACCUCCUUGCUGCCUCUGGUCGUCGUCUCACGCAAGACUCGGGUGGGCUCAGAGAGGAGAGCACCACCAAUCAUGGUCCAGGCUCCACCAGGUUGGGUGGAAGCCAAGGUGGGGUGUCAGGGUGGAGCCUAGGCUCCACGGGGGUUUUAGGGGAGACCCUCAAGGUGGGGGAUCAGGGUGGGGGCUCAGACUCCAUCGAGGGGUCAGGGGGUCAGGCUCCAUCAGGUUGGGGCUCAGACUCCAUUGACGGGGUAAGGAAAGGCCAGGCUCCGUCACGGUCGGGAGCCGGGGUCCACCAGGUGGGCCCUGGCGUGAAUCGAGUGCAGAACCAAAGCUGCCAAGAGGAUGCCCAAUGGGAAGGUGGUCCAGAACCCUCGGCCCGGCUUCGCAGGAAGCCCGCGGAUCGCCUGCCCUCUCCGCGCACCCCGCCUCCUCCAGCCCCGAAAAGCAGGAGGGUCGCCCCCGCCCCCCGGCCACACCCCCGCCAGGACGUCACAAAAAAGGCCCCGAGAGCCUCGGCGACCGCGCCAGACGGAGCAGCCCGCCUCCCGCGCACAGGCGUCCGC